RNAcentral lists this ribosomal RNA (492 nucleotides) under uncultured bacterium. RNAcentral describes it as "partial 16S ribosomal RNA". It matches the Rfam family "Bacterial small subunit ribosomal RNA", at positions 29 to 507 of the family's 1533-position model. The record is from RNAcentral.
AGUGAACGCUGGCUGUAGGCCUAACACAUGCCAGUCGAACGGCAGCACAGUAAGAGCUUGCUCUUACGGGUGGCGAGUGGCGGACGGGUGAGUAAUACAUCGGAAUCUACUUUUUCGUGGGGGAUAACGUAGGGAAACUUACGCUAAUACCGCAUACGACCUACGGGUGAAAGCAGGGGAUCUUCGGACCUUGCGCGAUUGAAUGAGCCGAUGUCGGAUUAGCUAGUUGGCGGGGUAAAGGCCCACCAAGGCGACGAUCCGUAGCUGGUCUGAGAGGAUGAUCAGCCACACUGGAACUGAGACACGGUCCAGAAUCCUAAGGGAGGCAGCAGUGGGGAAUAUUGGACAAUGGGCGCAAGCGUGAUCCAGCCAUACCGCGUGGGUGAAGAAGGCCUUCGGGUUGUAAAGACCUAUUGUUGGGAAAGAAAAGCAGCAGGUUAAUACCCCGCUGUUCUGACGGUACCCAAAGAAUAAGCACCGGCUAACUUCGUG